Molecule: ribosomal RNA, 274 nt
Filed under: uncultured bacterium
Lineage: Bacteria
Description: partial 16S ribosomal RNA
Rfam family: Bacterial small subunit ribosomal RNA
Source: RNAcentral
AUACGGAGGAUCCGAGCGUUAUCCGGAUUUAUUAGGUUUAAAGGGUGCGCAGGCGGAACUGUAAGUCACCGGAGAAAUCCUACAGCUUAACUGUAGAACUGCCGGUGAUACUGCGAUUCUUGAGUAUAGUUGAGGUAGGCGGAAUGUGUAGUGUAGCAGUGAAAUGCAUAGAUAUUACACAGAACACCGAUUGCGAAGGCAGCUUACUAAACUAUUACUGACGCUCAUGCACGAAAGCGUGGGGAGCGAACAGGAUUAGAAACCCCGGUAGUCC